This 6396-nucleotide long non-coding RNA is filed under the name Jatropha curcas. Its description in RNAcentral is "long non-coding RNA (JCUR_LNC001840)". Lineage: Eukaryota; Viridiplantae; Streptophyta; Magnoliopsida; Malpighiales; Euphorbiaceae. The record is from RNAcentral.
CCAUUUAUAAUUACCCAAAUCCACAUAAUCCGAACACUGCCUCACUUCCAUCUUAAAAAACCGUCAGCAUCUUUGUCCCAUUACAUAGAAAUCCUCGAGAUUCUUCUCUAUCUCUGUCCUAACAAAAAGUCUGAAACCCUAUCCUCAGUCGUCACCCAAAAUUAACCAAAUCAUAAUCAAACAAUCAAAUACGUCCCCUCUCUACCAAUUAACCAACCCAUGCAAGAAGAUUUUAGAUUUAUGAAUGUGAGAUUUUGCGUAUUAUUGCCUCUCGGCACGUAACAAGUGGAAGUUGCAUGACUUGGGCUUUUGUUACAUGUAGAGCCAUUUGGCAGGAUGACUAGCACGUGCCAAGAUAAGCGAACACCUUAUGUUUCUAGAGGAUAGGUUAUGGUUCUGGUUAGGCUUCGAUGAGUGGAGGUGCAAUAGUUCAAGUGGCCUCUCAUUCAUGUCUCGUUUUGGGUGUGGAGGUGGAACGGUGCGAGUGGCUGCCUUUAUUGGACGAGUCUCAUCAGAUUAUUGAACGUAAACUCAUAAAACACCCAAGCAAAUGAUUCAAAAGCAAACCCUUUAAAGAAGGAAUCAAUCUCAUUUUCUAAUAAAAGGUUUAACUUUACUUAACCACGUCUCUUUAGUCCUUCCUUUCUUUGCUUAUAAAACCCUAUAGACCACAGAUUCUUUUUUUGGUUGUCAAGCUCUGUUCCCUCAGCAAAAAAUAUCAACAGCAUCAAGAAGAGGAAGAAGUGGGUGUUUUUGAAGAAAAAUGUGUAAUCCAAUCAUACCUUUGGUUAGCCAUGGGGUCUUCGAGCGAAGAUGGUUUGUUUUCCAAGCAGUAGAGACCAUGACUGAACAUGCAAGGUUAGAGACAGCUGCUGUUGCUGGUGGUGGUGGUGGUGCUGCUGCUGCUGCUGGAGGUGGCUCGAUAAAGAGCUGUAUUUGUUCCCCGACAAGACACGCAGGAUCAUUCAGGUGCAGAUAUCACCAUGGUGAUUAUGAAUGGGGUCGUAGAAUAACAAAGAAGUGAGUACACUUGUAAGUUUGUAAUUAAAGUUCAAAGGCUUAAUGCAAAUGUAUAAACUACAUAACAAAAAUGGGUUUUAAUCCAUUUUAUGUAUCUUCCUUCUACAAUUUCUUGAAUUGCCUCCUCCAUCAAGAAAAUUUUUUCAAAAUCAGUCCGUUUUAAGCCUGCUAGCGCUGCGAACCACAACGCACAACGAGAAAGAAGCAGGACAGAAAGGUAGGACUGGCAAUUUCAAACUCUACCCAUUUAGAAUUAGAAGACGCUAAACGAAACUAAUUGGACUCAAAUUAGUUCAAAACUGGGUUGAGCCAUAAACGGAUCUAUCCCACGCUUAAAAUUUUAUCAUAAUUAUACAUAUAUUAAUCUGAUUAACCUGCCUAAUUUGAUUAUGACCUAUUUAAUAUAAUAUUAUAAAUUACUAUAUUACGUAAUUAUUAUAUGAUACGGUACUAUUGAAUGCAGCAGAACACAAAUGAUCAGCCCCUACGAAAGUUUCAAAGUUAUAAAUGGCAUAUAUUCCAAACUCACGACCUCUUUUCUUUCUCUUAUUUUUAUUUAUUUUUUAAAAUUAAACUAUCGCCCAUUGCGAUGGGUACCAAAGAACACUGCCGCUCAAUUUUGCAUUCAUAACAAAAGAUAGGCAUCUAGCAAAGGGUUUUACCUAAAGAAGAAUGUUCCUGCAGAGAACAGAAAAGCUUAUCACAUCUUAAUAAUGGAUGCAUCUAUCAGAUCCCAUACUCUAGAAGAUGCACAUAUUGUAUACUUUUGCUUUUUACACCAACUCGGACUUGGAGAAUAAGUAAACUAGAAUUUUCAAGUUAUUAAUUAAAGGAAAUGGAGAUUAUUUCCUACAACAACCAAUAGUCAUUCUCUGCCAAAAAGCAACAGAACAAAUUUCUUUUUCGAAAGCAACAACCGCCUACAAGUACAGUCUAUUAGAACAUAAUUGCUGACAUGCAGUCACUAUCUUUUCAACUUCUCAUUUGAUUAAGCCACAUGUCAGUUUGAAGAAGGUUCAUAGUUAUUCUCUAUGUUCAUGAUCACGGAUGAUUUAUCCACCUUCCACAAUACCAAUUGCCAACUGCCAGAAGCACAUCUAUGUGGAUGUUUUAAGCGUAUCAGAUCAUUCUGUUCUAAUUCAUUCUAUAUACCCAUCUCCCAGAAGAAAUCAUUUUUGCGAUAGUAAAUGCAGAAUUACGUGAAUUAGCGUAAUCUUUGGUAAUAAAUAGCCUACAGAAUAAUCUGUUAAACAGUUAUCUGCUGGAUCAAUUUGAUUCUAAGAGAAGUAUUCAUGGGCCCAACAAGUAUAUACAGAAGCAACAACCUUAUGAAUGGAAAAAUUCUAAUAAAUUUCAUUUAAGUUGGGUGUAAAAUGUAAAUACAUAGAUAGCUUUGUUCCUUGGCCAAAUGAAUCUUUUGCACUAAAUCGAAUCAGAAGCCACAAAGAACUCGCCCAAGCUACAAAUGGCAAUCAAUUUCUGAAUAGAACUAGCAACUCAAAGGGCUACUGGAAACAUAAGAAUAUUUACCUCCAGCACCCAGUUCUAUGUACUUCCGCUUCAAGACACUCUGCCACAGACCAAGGUCCCUCAUAUCACUGGAAAAUUUAGAUACCGGUUCGUGUAUUAGAAAAGCAAAAUAGACAGUUAGUAUGAUCAAUUAAUAUAGAUAAAAGAAAAACUAUAGCCCUAGAUUAUCUGAGAGCAUAGAUCAACCAGUACAUGGAAUGAAAACAGGAAUGUAAGACGCUCCUUAGUAGAAAUGCAGUAAGAUGGAAGUAGCUAACUGGGAAUAAAAUAUGAAUGUCCAAAUUCCAAAAUAUGAAAUCAUUUCAGGUCGCAUGUGUAAGAAAUAUAAGCAGAAUACCAUAUAUUGGAAUAAAAUAACGACGGCCACGGAAUUUAAUACCUUAUAAACACUUCUUGUCAGCUGGAAUGUAAUAGCUAAGACUGCCAUAAUAAAAGAGAAAGAAGUCAAAAUAACGAAAAGCAACAGGGUCGCCGUUUGUAAUGAGUGAUAUGCAUGCAACAUAUAAAGCAGUUGCAUGAAUCCUUCAAAAUAGUAAUAUUGUUCAUCAUAAAGAAUAACAGUUCCUCACCUCAGGGUAACAAUCUUGACGGGCAACUGUUUGGUUAUUAGUAUUCACAUAGACCUCACACGAUACUCUUGCCUGAAACAUUGUGAAGGACAUAAGUUUGAUUAUAUAUCAUCAUGAAUAAAAUAAGCAAAAUAGCAGCGAGACAUGAAAAUGGUAAAAGGAGCUGAAACGUGCAAGGUUAAUGCUCAUAACUAUUAAAGUUGCAAGGAUCACUAAUGCUUGAAGGUACCCUAAAGCACAGGCAAAAGACAUAAGCUGGCAUGCCUGUGAGAGACGAGGCGCAAAAGAUAGCCCAAUUAUGUGAAACAGUACCUUAGAGGCUACUGUACUGAUCUCAGGCAUUUUUCCUUAAGCUUUUCUUCUUUUUUUUCCCUCUUCUAUUUGUUCUUUCUAAUAAAAUUGAUAUACAUCUAGCAUGUGUGAGAAUAAAGGCACAGUUGCUGCCCCAUAUUGUUCAAAAUUGGAUGACCCCUAAAAUUUCCAUACGCACUGAAUCGUUUUUCCCAAAUAUAAAUCAAAUUCCCUAAUUCACACAUUCGCCAUAUCCAAUUAAAUCAACCACAUCACGCACCCAGCACAAAUUUAAGACAAAGAAGCAAGAAGACGAAACAAAUGACCUUGAUAGGAAUUUUGAAAAACAAGAGUCCAAGCUCUCCUUCGAUCAUGGUAUCAGUGUCAAAGGGGAUAACGCCCCUAGCCAAAUCCUCAAUCAAGUAAAACACAUCAUGAAUAAUCUGUAGCCCAUUUAAAUCAAGCGUGGCAUUAACGUACGACGAUCCUCUCGCUCUAAGUUUCCCGCCUUGAGACCUUACAAGCCCCAGCUCUCUCCCUCUAUACCCAACCGAAACGUCAAGAGAGUCAUAGUCUAAAGAAAAGAAGUCUCUGUUUCUCACCCUCAUGAGCAGGGACAGAGAUAUGUCGAGAGUGAGUUUCGGGGAUGAGUUGACUCGUAUGUGGUUGAGUCGAAUUCGGUCUACUUGGAGGGCGGGAUCGGAAGGGUAGAGAAAGAAGACAACAGCAGACAGAAGGAGGAUGACCGAAGUAAAGAGGAGGCAGCGGCGUAGGAAGAUGAGGGACGGAUUCGGAGGUGGUUGGUAGUAGGGCAAAACGAUGACGUUGUGCGGAAUAGGGUGGGAAGGUAAAGAAGUAUACGGAGCAUUGGAGAAUUUUGAGGUCAUUUUGUUUUGUGAAAUUUGUGAAUUUUCGUGCUGCCUCGGUGGCCGGCGCAAUAAGAAUUGCCAAACACUCCUUUGCGACUUUGCGUACGUUUCUAACGUAUUGAGAACGUAGCAAUAGCCAACCAACAUCUAAGCGGAUUUUUUAAUAAUUUUUAAAAACAAAGGAUUUGGAGAAUUCAUAUGGGCCGUUGGAUUGUACGUUGAAAAUGCUGCUAAUUACCAACUACAAAUGGAUCCAAUAACAUAAAGAACAUGAUAUAAUUUUUAUAAGUGAAUAAGUUUACAAAUGAUAGAUGUAAUUUUAGCCACAAUUAAUCAAACAAAUGAAAAUUUCUUAAUAUUUACUUUAAUUUUAUACAUAUCCCAAAAAAAGUUAAUUACAUAAAAUAAUUGGAAGAUGGAUAUAAUUCAAAUUUUGAUAAAAAUAAAUAAGAGAUGGAAAUCACUUAAUAAAAUUAUUCAAAUUUGAAUUUUAAAUAUGGAAUUCAUUCCUUUUUAUCAUAAGAAUCCAUGUUAAGAUGUGCAAUAACAAAAAGAGUGCAUCGGGUGACAUUAAUCACAUCAGCAACAGCAAGCUGAAACGAGAAAAAGAGUGAAUGGGAAAACAAAUUUCCUUUCUGGACAAAAGAAGAAACAGGAUAUAUCUUUGUCUUUGUAUAAGAAAUUUACCACAUUCCAAUUGAAAAAACAAUUAUUUUCGGAUCAGGUUCAGGUACCCAAUCAAAUUUUUUAUUGGUGGCAAGAUGAUACGGUGACGGUGCUUCUGUCUUGCACUCAUAAAACAAACAAUGACGCGUGAACCCGAAGCCAAUCGGUUGCUUCUCCUAGAAAUGACAAAAAUCGUAUGAUCUUGAUCCAAUACAGUUCAGACCCAGAUAAAAUGACAACACAAACAUUUUUUAUUUGAAAAAAAAAAAGGGAAAUAGACUUAACCAUUAAGUAGAUAAUGUCAAAAUCAAUUAAAAAUAUUUAUAAAUUGACAAAUGACAAGCGAAAUUGUGCUUUUCAUAUUGUCACAGUCAACAGUCACUGUCUUUUCGGCUACUAAUUCAAAUUUGUAAGUAUCCAUCUUGUCCAAUAUUAACCUAAAAUUAGUAAUAUAAUUCAUUAUAAACCUAUUCUAGGCCACUCAAAGCAUAUCUCAACCAUCGCGCUGUGGACAAAACUAUUAGAGAUAAAACAUAUAACUUGGACCCAGUUUGUGGAUAAUGAUCCACUAAUCAAACCAAUUGUUGAUUAACCCAUGAUAUUUAAUGCAGAUAAAUUAUAUUUUCCAAUUAUUUUUUUAUAUUUGAAAAUUAAAAAAUACUACUAUAGAACUAACUUUUUAUCAUCAACAACAAAACCCAAUUUUAACGAUAAUUUUCAAAUUUCAAAUUGACAAAAAAGAUUGAAGAAAAAGAGAAAGAGUGAGAGUGGAUGUUAGGCAACGGCUAAUUAAGAUAGAAACAAUCUUACUGCAAAUCACAAAAUAAUCCUUAACACAAAAUAUGUAUAUACUCCGUUAUUUUUCUACAGAGUUUGAUGGAGGUACAGAGGAAGGAUUUGAUGCGGUUGCUGCAUAUAUAUUUAUAAUAACACCGACUACUUAAUUAACUAAGUAGACUCAACUGACUUAGGAGACAGAGUAUUUACGGCGUUAUUUGUUGGCAUAGACUUUGAUCGUUUCAUCGAAGCCGCCGCUGACCUCGACCGAUGAAAUCUACACCUAAACGAUCCUUCAUGCGUCGUCGGCGAACACAGGCAUUGGCCUUUUGGCGAACUCAAUAUGGCGGAGCCACCUUCGGUUCCGUUGCCGCCUUUCGGAGAGGAGGUAGAAACCGCGAUGCUGCCAUGGGACGCCAUAAAGAAACUAAUUAAGAAGAGCAAACUGAAAUAAUAGUUGGUCUGUGGCGAUUUUAUAUGGUUUGAGAAUUAUAUGAUUCUCAAAAAUAGUGUAAGGUUAGAAUUGGUAAUCCAAUCAAGUGGUGCGCUAUGAUUCUAGCUUUUUUGUCUUUUUUAUAACCAAACAAACAAACAAUGUAUCUAUUUCCUGCAGUGCAUGAAAUCCAAAACGGAUAUUUGUUAGGUAUUUCUACACAAUUCGGUUGGACUCCAUA